ACACAUCCGUUCUCAGCCCUGCUGUUCCCACUCCUGGGCCCUGCUGCCCUGCUGCCCUGCUGUCCCUCCCUCCCCCCUGCCCAGCCUCUCCUGGCACCGUCAUCUUUAUCCACCUCACCCGUCUUGCGUUCCCACUUUUCUGCUGUAGGCAGUCUUCAAAAGAAAAAAAAAACCACUCCUUCUCCAGUUUCUGCCCUAUAUCCUUCCUGCGAUAGAACUCCUCUCCAUCUGCCAAACCAUAUUGCUUCUGUCCUGCGAAGCGGUGUCCCCACCUUCUUUCUGCGAGGAGGGAGAGGCGCAGACUCCCUGGGCGUUUCCGAGCACAGUCUGAGGCUGGACUGAGACCCAGCCCUCCACCCCCAGCCCCAGGGCGGAACAGACCUAGGCUGUUACAUAAACACAGUGUCAGCUGGGAGCCGGGUCCUGUGUUUCCUGGGGCUAAGCCUCUCGGUGGAAAGGGGCGGCAGUUCCGAGUGUAUAACAAAGCCUCCCUCACUCUGUUUAGACUUCGGUGAAGGGUUUGUUUGUCCCAGCUCUGAAGGUGACGUGGGACCUGCGGUCAGGAUCCAUCUGGCUCUGAGGAAGUGCAGUGGGCACUUGGGCCUCCUGUAGUCUCUGCCACUCACAGUCACUUCUGACCCCGUGUCCAGGACAGGAGGAAGCAGGGGAUGUUUGGCUUUCCUGUGUUUCAGGACAGGAUUUGAGGAGAGGGAGACCAUUUUGAAAAGUUCCUUUCCCACCAGAGGCCAAGGAAAGAGAAAACCUGCCCAUUACUUGGCCUUAGGGAGUGGAAGAAGUACAGCCUUCAGCUGGGAGGGAGAGCUGGAGGGCUCACUAUGUGCAGAGCCUCUGAGCCACCUUCACCUCACUAGUGGGGAAACUGAGGCUCAGAGAAGGGAGGGAGCCAAGCGGAUACAGCCAGGGAGAGUAUAGGCCUUCAACAGGAGCCCGCUUCCGGCUUGGCACUCACCUGCAGUGAGCGCUCCCUGACAGCUUGGGUUUCCUGGCUGAGUCCUAGAAAGAGGGAUGCAGGAGAACGAGGGCCUCAGUCCAAAUGGGGACACUGGGCACGUGGAGCGCAGGAUGUUGUACCAAGCUAGCCAGGAGCCCCAAAGGAGCCCGGGAUCUUUCCAGGACCUGCUGGUCCCAGUCGUUGUGUGCAGCAGGAGGACCUCUUGCAGUGCACAUGUGCCGGAUACAUGCUUUGCGUGCCCGCUAUACGAAGAGCUCCUGCAGAUUAAGAAAACGAUUUGAAAAACCCAAGAGAAAAACAGGCCAAAAGAAAAGAAAGACAGGCAAAGAGUAGGAUCAAGACAAAUGAAAGAAGAGGAAAUGCUUUGUGUUGCUGAUGAACAUGAAAAGGCGCAACCUCACUAGUAAUCAGGGGCGUGCCCAUCAGAAGCGCCAGGGACUGGUUCCCCGGUUGGAAGAGCAGACUGCUGGCGCACAGGGUGCACCGACAUCCCCACCCACGGCUGGUGGAGAGCAGGAGAAGGGAUUGCUACGACCAACCUGGAAAAGUAACGGCGUUAUCCAUUCACAUGAAGCAUUCACAUGCCUCGGGAAGAACACACCAUAGGCACACAGGUAUUGAUUACCGCCUUGCUUGUGGUAGCUAAAAAAGAAGGAAGUGACGUGACUGUCCCUCAGCAGGGGAAGGGUUGAAGAACGGACAGAACAUGCAUACUGUGAGAUGCUAUGAAGCCAGGCCACCGGAGCAAGCUAGAGCCAACCCAGUGGCCUGGGGAGGGCCCCAGGUGCCCCUGGCGGGGCGGUUUGGUGUGAACUGCAGCGUGAGCAGGAGCUGGGAAGACAGUCACUCAGGACGCAUCUGUGUUAAGGAGAGGGAAGAGGGCAUGCGGCCAAAACAGUGGUUUUCUGAGCAUGUUGUGAAUGUUUUCUUACCCUGAAAUAAAAUUUAAAAAAGA
Long non-coding RNA from Homo sapiens (human), 1928 nucleotides. RefSeq lists it as uncharacterized. The transcript has 2 exons. NCBI's taxonomy places the organism in Eukaryota, Metazoa, Chordata, Mammalia, Primates, Hominidae. The record is from RefSeq and is a predicted model, not a curated record.